This 104-nucleotide ribosomal RNA is filed under the name uncultured bacterium. RNAcentral's name for it is "partial 16S ribosomal RNA". It matches the Rfam family "Bacterial small subunit ribosomal RNA", at positions 1379 to 1482 of the family's 1533-position model. The record is from RNAcentral.
CCUUGUACACACCGCCCGUCACGCCAUGGAAGUUGGUUCUACCUGAAGACGGGGCGCUAACCGCAAGGAAGCAGCCGGCCACGGUAGGGUCAAUGACUGGGGCG